ACAUGUCCGACACGGGUCUAAGUGCAGUAUCUGUUCUUAUCAGUUUAAUAUCUGAUAAAGUUUGUAUUUGGCCGCAAGAUAUUUAACCCAUUUUUGCCAGCUGGCGGAGUGCUUGAAGCCUCCUUCUCCUCCGCAGCGUGUAUGCCCGGUAAUGCACAAUUUUCGGAAUCGGCCCACGUUUU
Dermacentor silvarum is the source of this 182-nucleotide small nuclear RNA. RefSeq annotates it as U2 spliceosomal RNA. The record is from RefSeq and is a predicted model, not a curated record. Lineage: Eukaryota; Metazoa; Arthropoda; Arachnida; Ixodida; Ixodidae. The transcript has a single exon.